CGGCGAGUGAAGCGGGAAGAGCUCAAAUUUGUAAUCUGGCACUUUCAGUGUCCGAGUUGUAAUCUCGAGAAGUAUUUUCCGCGCCGGACCGCAUACAAGUCUGUUGGAAUACAGCGUCAUAGUGGUGAGAACCCCGUAACUGAUGCGGAUGCCCGGUGCUUUGUGAUAUACUUUCGAAGAGUCGAGUUGUUUGGGAAUGCAGCUCAAAUUGGGUGGUAAAUUCCAUCUAAAGCUAAAUAUUGGAGCAAGACCGAUAGCGAACAAGUACCGUGAGGGAAAGAUGAAAAGCACUUUGGAAAGAGAGUUAACAGUACGUGAAAUUGUUGGAAGGGAAACGCUUGAAGUCAGACUUGCUAUUCGGAGUUCAGCCGCAAGGUGUAUUCUUCGAUUUGCAGGCCAGCAUCAGUUUUUGGGGGUGGAAAAUCGUGGUUUGAAGGUAGCAGCUUCGGCUGUGUUAUAGCUUUCCACUGGAUUCAUCUUCGGGGACUGAGGAACGCAGUACGCUUUUUGCAAGGCUUUCGAGCUUUU
RNAcentral lists this ribosomal RNA (528 nucleotides) under Leucosporidium yakuticum. RNAcentral's name for it is "eukaryotic LSU rRNA". It matches the Rfam family "Eukaryotic large subunit ribosomal RNA", at positions 87 to 627 of the family's 3401-position model. Lineage: Eukaryota; Fungi; Basidiomycota; Microbotryomycetes; Leucosporidiales; Leucosporidiaceae. The record is from RNAcentral.